UACGUAGGGGGCGAGCGUUGUCCGGAUUUACUGGGUGUAAAGGGUGCUCAGGUGGUUUUGUAAGUCAGAGGUGAAAUCUCAGAGCUUAACUCUGGAACUGCCUUUGAUACUAUGAGACUUGUGUACGGAAGAGGUUGAUGGAAUUCCUGGUGUAGCAGUGAAAUGCGUAGAUAUCAGGAAGAACACCAGUGGCGAAGGCGGUCAACUGGUCCGGUACAGACACUAAAGCACGAAAGCGUGGGGAG
Molecule: ribosomal RNA, 245 nt
Filed under: uncultured bacterium
Lineage: Bacteria
Description: partial 16S ribosomal RNA
Rfam family: Bacterial small subunit ribosomal RNA
Source: RNAcentral